GGAGCCGUAGCGAAAGCGAGUUUUAACUGAGCGUUCAGUUACUUGACGUAGACCCGAAACCGGGCGACCUACCCAUGAGCAGGAUGAAGCGAAAGUAAAAUUUCGUGGAGGUCCGAACCCACGAGCGUUGAAAAGCUCGGGGAUGACUUGUGGGUAGCGGUGAAAUUCCAAUCGAGCCCGGAGAUAGCUGGUUCUCCCCGAAAUAGCUUUAGGGCUAGCCUCAAGGUGAGAGAUACGGAGGUAGAGCACUGAAUGUCCUAGGGGGUAUUGCACCUACCGAAGACUAUCAAACUCCGAAUGCCGUCAUCUUAUACUUGGGAGUCAGACUGUGGGUGAUAAGAUUCAUAGUCGAAAGGGCAACAGCCCAGAUCGUCAGCUAAGGUCCCUAAAUGUAAGUUAAGUGGUAAAGGAUGUGGGAUUGCACAGACAACCAGGAUGUUGGCUUAGAAGCAGCCACUCAUUCAAAGAGUGCGUAAUAGCUCACUGGUCGAGUGAUCCUGCGCCGAAGAUUUCCGGGGCUAAAACUUACUACCGAAGCUACGGCAUCAGUAAUGAUGGGUAGGGGAGCUUCCCAUACGGGUUGAAGCAUGACCGUAAGGACAUGUGGACAGUAUGGGAGUGAGAAUGUUGGCAUGAGUAGCGAGAUGUGGGUGAGAAUCCCACAGGCCGUAAACCCAAGGUUUCCAGGGGAAGGUUCGUCCGCCCUGGGUUAGUCGGGACCUAAGCUGAGGCCGAAAGGCGUAGGUGAUGGACAACAGGUUGAUAUUCCUGUACUACCGAUAACCGUUUGAGAGAAGGGAUGACACAGUAGGAUAAGCUAAGCACACUGUUGGUUAUGUGUGCCCAAGCAUUGAGGCAGUCAAAGUAGGCAAAUCCGCUUUGAUAAUGCUGGGAUGUGAUGGGGAGCGAAAUUUAGUAGCGAAGUAGCUGAUUUCACACUGUCAAGAAAAGUCUCUAUCGAGGUUAAAGGUACCCGUACCGCAAACCGACACAGGUGGGUGAGGAGAGUAUCCUAAGGCCAGCGAGAGAACUGUUGUUAAGGAACUCGGCAAAAUGACCCCGUAACUUAGGGAUAAGGGGUGCCACCAUCAGGUGGCCGCAGAGAAUAGGCCCAAGCGACUGUUUACCAAAAACAUAGGUUUCUGCUAAGUCGCAAGACGAUGUAUAGGAGCUGACGCCUGCCCGGUGCUGGAAGGUUAAGGGGAUCUGUUAGAGCAAUCGAAGCAGUGAACUUAAGCCCCAGUAAACGGCGGCCGUAACUAUAACGGUCCUAAGGUAGCGAAAUUCCUUGUCGGGUAAGUUCCGACCCGCACGAAAGGCGUAACGAUUUGGGCACUGUCUCAACAACAGACUCGGUGAAAUUGUAAUUCCGGUGAAGAUGCCGGAUACCUGCGACAGGACGGAAAGACCCCAUGGAGCUUUACUGUAGCUUGACAUUGGGUCUUGGUACUACAUGUACAGGAUAGGUGGGAGGCUUUGAAACCAGGACGCCAGUUUUGGCGGAGCCAUCCUUGGGAUACCACCCUUGUAGUACUGGGACUCUAACCAUAGGCCAUGAAUCUGGUCUUGGGACACUGUCAGGUGGGCAGUUUGACUGGGGCGGUCGCCUCCCAAAAGGUAACGGAGGCGCUCAAAGGUUCUCUCAGUACGGUCGGAAAUCGUACGUAGAGUGUAAAGGCAAAAGAGAGCUUGAUUGCAAGACAUACAGGUCGAGCAAGGAUGAAAAUCGGACUUAGUGAUCCGGUGGUUCUGCGUGGAAGGGCCAUCGCUCAACGGAUAAAAGCUACCCUGGGGAUAACAGGCUUAUCUCCCCCAAGAGUCCACAUCGACGGGGAGGUUUGGCACCUCGAUGUCGGCUCAUCACAUCCUGGGGCUGUAGUAGGUCCCAAGGGUUGGGCUGUUCGCCCAUUAAAGUGGUACGCGAGCUGGGUUCAGAACGUCGUGAGACAGUUCGGUCCCUAUCCGUCGCAGGCGUAGGAAAUUUGAGAAGACCUGUCCUUAGUACGAGAGGACCGGGAUGGACGUACCUCUGGUGUACCAGUUGU
This 2045-nucleotide ribosomal RNA is filed under the name Clostridioides difficile. RNAcentral describes it as "bacterial LSU rRNA". It matches the Rfam family "Bacterial large subunit ribosomal RNA", at positions 662 to 2724 of the family's 2925-position model. The record is from RNAcentral. Lineage: Bacteria; Bacillati; Bacillota; Clostridia; Peptostreptococcales; Peptostreptococcaceae.